ACGAGGCGGCUGGUCCGACUGAGCUGCGUGGUGGCGCACCUUGCCAAUGUCCUGGAGCUCGACAGCUUGACGCGAACUGCGGCACCGCAGAGCUCGGCGCGGGCCGCAGCGUAUAGCUUGUGCAGUUUCCUCCUGCUGCUUGGGCUUGGCAUCCCGUAAGGAGCUCGCCGUGCAAGCCCGCCCAAGCCCGUGCCGCUGGCCGCUGCAACAGACGCGAUGCCCAGGACGACAAACCGCCGGCCGGAAGCACGGUGCCAACGAACGAGAACGGAGAACCUCUUCGAUCGACAGGCCAUGGAGGAUGUGCGUGGCGAGGCCUGUGCUGGCACCGAAAGCAGGCAGCGGUAGGACAUGCGACUCUGGCUGCUGGGGGCCUGGGGCCUCAGCCUUCAUGAUGAUGCGGCAGCAGCCUCUGCCUGGAAGUUUCGGCUCCACCAGCAGGCGGCGCUACGGCCGGAGCACGGGCAUGGCGGCCUGGCCAGCGCUCGAUGCAGCGUGUCCGGAAGCCCUGGCCGCAGGCCGGCAUGACGCGCACGGCGUCCCCGUUCAUGAACUCUGCCGGGAAUAGGCCGUGGCUCGCGUGGGUCACAAUUGGAGCUGGGCAGCGGCGCGUGGUGCGGACGCUGAAGGUGUGGUGCGCGUCGUGUUCUUUCUCCAGCCGGACAUGUUCUCCACGGAGUCUGCGGCGUUAACAGCAAAUGUGACGGAAUGCUACUUUCAGGUAACAGUUCUUUUUUUCGAUGGUAUUUUACGUGACGAAGAUCUUCCGGUGGUAUUUUUC
Molecule: long non-coding RNA, 781 nt
Organism: Setaria italica (foxtail millet)
Lineage: Eukaryota; Viridiplantae; Streptophyta; Magnoliopsida; Poales; Poaceae
Exons: 2
Source: RefSeq, a predicted model, not a curated record